GCAAGUCGAACGCUCUCUUCGGAGGGAGUGGCAGACGGGUGAGUAACACGUGGGAAUCUACCUAGUUCUACGGGAUAGCCAUUGGAAACGAUGAUUAAUACCGUAUACGCCCUAAGGGGGAAAGAUUUAUCGGAAUUAGAUGGGCCCGCGUUAGAUUAGUUUGUUGGUGGGGUAAUGGCCUACCAAGACUACGAUCUAUAGCUGGUUUGAGAGGAUGAUC
This 220-nucleotide ribosomal RNA is filed under the name uncultured bacterium. RNAcentral describes it as "partial 16S ribosomal RNA". It matches the Rfam family "Bacterial small subunit ribosomal RNA", at positions 57 to 305 of the family's 1533-position model. The record is from RNAcentral.